This 497-nucleotide ribosomal RNA is filed under the name uncultured bacterium. Its description in RNAcentral is "partial 16S ribosomal RNA". It matches the Rfam family "Bacterial small subunit ribosomal RNA", at positions 28 to 507 of the family's 1533-position model. The record is from RNAcentral.
GAUGAACGCUGGCGGCGUGCCUAAUACAUGCAAGUCGAGCGAACAGACGGGGAGCUUGCUCCUCUGACGUUAGCGGCGGACGGGUGAGUAACACGUGGAUAACCUACCUAUAAGACUGGGAUAACUUCGGGAAACCGGAGCUAAUACCGGAUAAUAUAUUGAACCGCAUGGUUCAAUAGUGAAAGACGGUUUUGCUGUCACUUAUAGAUGGAUCCGCGCCGCAUUAGCUGGUUGGUAAGGUAACGGCUUACCAAGGCAACGAUGCGUAGCCGACCUGAGAGGGUGAUCGGCCACACUGGAACUGAGAUACGGUCCAGACUCCUACGGGAGGCAGCAGUAGGGAAUCUUCCGCAAUGGGCGAAAGCCUGACGGAGCAACGCCGCGUGAGUGAUGAAGGUCUUCGGAUCGUAAAACUCUGUUAUUAGGGAAGAACAAAUGUGUAAGUAACUAUGCACGUCUUGACGGUACCUAAUCAGAAAGCCACGGCUAACUACGUG